UUCAAUAUCUCACAGUAUCUUGCCGAUUUCAAAUCGAAUUUGCCAGCCGUCAGCUAGCGUCAAACUGUUAUACAGAGAACUUGUAUAUGAAUGAAUCAUCUUUGAUUCGUCCAUGAUGUCGCAGCACUAUAAACAAACUCAUGAGUGAUGAUCUCACAUUUGAAAGUUUUCAUAUCCUAACUAGUUCUGAGCUUAAUGCAAACUUAAGCGAUGACUAACAACAUCCUGAACACCCCAGAUGCUGAAAAACUGCCUCUAGUGACAUGUUCCUGCACUAUGCAAGGAUUCAUCGGACGACCCGGACGGCCUCUCCACCGCCGCGGUGGCCGUGCUGUAGGCGCGCUUCUUCUCCGCCCGCACCAUGCUUGCCAGUUGCCACCGGCGGCGAGGUACCACCGUACCAGUGCCACCGGCGGCGAGGUACCACCGGGCGGCAGAUCCAGGAGGAGGAGAAGCCGAGCCGAGCCGAAUUCCGCCGGGCCGACGAUGGCCCACACCCACCCACAACAUGAGAUGAGAAGGACAAGGCCCACACCCACCCACAACAUGAGAUGAGAAGGACAAGGACAGCGCUAUGUUUGCAGAGCAGUAGCGUUCGACGAAGCCGCGGUCUCUCAGGAUGGAGCGAGCAGCCACCAUCGUGGUUGCGGCAGGAACACCGCGCUCCGGGAGGAGACGGAGGGGGUGCUCGUGUGGCUCACUACGAACCGAGCUUCCAUUCCCGGCCAGCGCGUGGAGCUUGAGACCUCGCGUGGUCGGAUUUCUUGCCGAAUCGGGCGCGCCUCAUCUCUGAUUCUUGCAAACUGCAGGGGUUAGGGGGACCGGAGAGCCGGUUCUCGUGCAUGAGAGGGUAGCGGGUGGCAUGGAGCUUUGCGCUACCGGCAGGAAAGGAUGCUGGAAGGACGGCGGCAGCGGCCGUCGGCAGCCGAGCCGAUCCAAAACAGGGUCAGGAGCCCUUUUGCAAAUAUUCGUAUCGCGAUCCAAAUUAGGAGGCUAUUUGUAAAAAACAGGGGGAAUAUGCAAAUAAUCGGAUCGCGAUCCAAAUAAGGGGGGCAUUUGUACAUUACGGGGGUCAAUAUGCAAAUAAUCGGAUCGCGAUUAUUAAUCGCGAUCCAAACCAGAGGGCUUCAUGCAAAAUUUGGCGCCGGCGUCAUGGCGGCCGGCGACGUCGCGUUGCCGCCGGUGAACUCCGCUUGCGACGUUGCGCGUGUGCCGCGCGAACCUCCGGAGGAUCCGCGUCCCUGCCUAUGGAUCCCGUCGCGCGCCGCCGCCGCUCACGGCCCUAGCUCCUGGAGAUGCUGCAAGCGGUCGCGGGUGUGUCAGAGCGCGCGCCGCGCGGCGCCCAGUGACGCGGAUGGCGCAAGCAAAGCAGCGACGGCGUUGAAGGUUUCCUUGGCUACGCUACCCCCGUUGGCUGCUCAUGAGCUGAAGGUCCCGUUCGUGCCUGCUCCAACGUUUCCAUCCUCGGCAUCGCUGUGCCGUGCGCCGAGCUGGAGUGCUUCGUCAAGGGCUCAAGGCACCUCCUCUGUCCUCUCUCUCGGCCUCGUCUUCUCUCCCUCCUCUGGUUUGUAGAUUAGUCACUGCUGCGCCCUGCAUUCUUCUCCGAAUUGCAGAGCUGAUUGAACUUCUGCAGCGGCAGCGUAUGGAGGACGAGGUGGCGGUCAAGCUGAGGAGGUUGGAGCGCCACCGCGCCGCGGCGUUGGCGAGCCACGCGCUCGCUCCUCUUUCCGCAUGGAGGAUCACCUCUCGUUUCUCCUUCCCUGCCGCUUCUUCUCCGUCCAGUUGGGUUGAGGAAUCAUAAGAGCUGAUGAAGCGUGCACUGAGCUUUCCUUUGGAGCAAGGAGCUUUCCAUUUUUUAGUAUGUUACUCGUUAAUUCCUUUGUAAACCUGCGCAUUGAUUAAUCAAGUGUGCUUCUACAUGUUGUUAUC
Molecule: long non-coding RNA, 1929 nt
Organism: Setaria italica (foxtail millet)
Lineage: Eukaryota; Viridiplantae; Streptophyta; Magnoliopsida; Poales; Poaceae
Exons: 2
Source: RefSeq, a predicted model, not a curated record